GACGAUCGCAACAGGUAACCGUUAUUGUAGCUCGCUUGACUGCUCCUUUGCUUAUUUGCUAACACACCUGUGUCACGCGACGUGGUAAUUAAGCCACCAUCGGCGCCUCCUCUUGGUCGUCGUUUUAUCAAGAUUGAAAACACGUUUGCGGUCUUUCCCUUUCUGCUACGCAACCAAGAUGGCGACUGACGACGGAGAGAGGUGUCCAUCGUUUUACACUUUUCUGUUUUUUUGACCGUUUUGAGCGCAACAUCCGGGCAAUUACAGUGAACUGCAUGUUGAGUUUGCAGAGUCCCUCUGAAAUGGGAUCUUUAUCUCCUUAUUCGAUGCAGUGCAUUUCCUUCUGAAACAUUUGAGGCAUCUUCAGGCACGACAUCAGUUUGAUUUGAGCAGACGAACAAAGUAGUGGGAUUUUUGAAAACUUUUGUAAUGGCCUAAUUGGUUGAAGUUCAUGUCGAGGCCUAACCUGUCCGGGAAGUGGCAGUGGACCAGGAAGUCAAAGUUUUCAUUCAGAAUAUCUCCUGAUAUAAAAGGAGUCGCAGGUCCCAAAUAAAAGCCCGCCUCCUUCCUUCACUCACCAGGAGAGAUCAUUUAAUCCAGGACGAGGAGUUGCAAGGAGUGCGAGGAUUUCCAGAACAUCACAUCUUCCCUUGGUUUGUGGAAUUAAAGUGGUGAAUAAUACAUGGCUGAAAGCACCCGUCAUCUCUCUGAGCUGCAUCUUCUCUUGGACACCGGGGGGAUUUGG
This is a long non-coding RNA of Seriola aureovittata, 745 nucleotides long. RefSeq lists it as uncharacterized. Lineage: Eukaryota; Metazoa; Chordata; Actinopteri; Carangiformes; Carangidae. The record is from RefSeq and is a predicted model, not a curated record. The transcript has 3 exons.